Long non-coding RNA from Nerophis ophidion (straightnose pipefish), 1407 nucleotides. RefSeq lists it as uncharacterized. The record is from RefSeq and is a predicted model, not a curated record. The transcript is spliced from 3 exons. NCBI's taxonomy places the organism in Eukaryota, Metazoa, Chordata, Actinopteri, Syngnathiformes, Syngnathidae.
UAGAUAUUGAUAGUCAGAGUGAUUUUGAAUCUUUUCUAACUUAGUCUGAUCCUUAUGCUGUUUGACAUCAGGAUGUAGGGAUUUUUGACCAGUAUCAUUGUGUAAGGGAAUAGGAUUGUCUUUAUGGUUGCGUGGAGGAUUAAAAGGAUUGUGGCUCUGAGAGGAAUAAUCACCUUCUAGCGGCUUUACAAUCUGCAGCUUCUCCGGCAGGUAGGAUCUGGCGGUGAACGAGUACCCCGACCACACGCUGCCCAAGGAUGGAUGUGAGCACAGUGAGAACAGACUUUCUGUUGGAGUUCCCGGUCCUCCGCUACUCCCACUUCCUCCUUUUUCCUCCUCUUUGGCAAGGUCUACUAUCUGGGAGAGAAGAUGAGUGAUCUCCUCCUGCUGUCUGGAAGCAUCCUCAGAUUUCCUCGCCAGCUCUUCAGCCAGAGAAGACAUUUGCACGUUGGCAUCACCUGAGAACAUCAGAGGGAUGCAGCAAAAGGAAAACGGAGAUUGUUUCUGUUUCUAAAUGGCUUGCCUGGAGUAGAAGAAGAUAAUAUACAUAAACAGUCCAAUAUAUAACUUGUACUAACACAGGAGACAUGUCGGAGACGUACAUUAAGGUAACAUUGAGCAUGUUAGUGAAUAUUCUAGCGGUCUUUAGUCGCGUACUGUAUUGACAAACAAUAACACACACAGUUGUCUGCCUGGAAAUCAGCCGAGUGAAUCACUACCCUAAUUGACAAUUGUGCUUAAGAUACAAAUUAUUUUGCGCAAAUACAAAUACUGGUGUGCAUGAUACAGUGGAUGUUUAAGUGUGUAUGAACCUUAGAUCGUAGAGAUUUGUUUUCUUCUUCUAAAUCUUUCAGUUUCUUCUGCAAAGAAUCCAAGGGGAAACAAGUUGGGGCGGACACGUUCUCACUGGGUCGCACACUGUGGAAAACAAUCAUCAACAGUGCACAUGUUAUACACCAACUGGCCAUUUUGGUACAAAUGCUAAUGAACUAAGCUACUGAACUCCAUUGUAAACAUGUGUGUUUCUACAUUUGUUUAAUUUCAUUUUACUUUAAUUUGGCAACAUUUUUUAUCAUAUUUUACAAUUGUUUUGAUUAUAUUAUAACUGCAAUCUUUGAAUGAUGAUAAAUGAAUGUAUUGUGGCAGUUGUUGAUUUCACCAAUGUGGCGGUCUGAGGAAAGACACGAUUGCUUCUACAAAAAUGUUUUCAGUGAACUGCCAAUGUAAGAAUGCUGAACAGGAAGUGCUUAAAGUUAAAAAGUUUGUGAAAACACAGUCAAAGUUAUUUGUGUUCGUGGUGUUUUUAAACUGCACCGUUUUUUUCUUCAGAACUUUAAACUAACUUAAAGUGUUUUGCCAAGAGGAUUAGUUGUAAUAUGUACAUUUUAUGAAUUUGCUUGUUUUAUU